Molecule: ribosomal RNA, 1470 nt
Filed under: metagenome
Description: bacterial SSU rRNA
Rfam family: Bacterial small subunit ribosomal RNA
Source: RNAcentral
AGAGUUUGAUCCUGGCUCAGGACGAACGCUGGCGGCACGCUUAACACAUGCAAGUCGAACGAGAGAAGAGGAGCUUGCUUUUCUGAUCUAGUGGCGGACGGGUGAGUAACACGUGAGCAAUCUGCCUUUCAGAGGGGGAUACCGAUUGGAAACGAUCGUUAAUACCGCAUAACAUAAUUGAACCGCAUGAUUUGAUUAUCAAAGAUUUAUCGCUGAAAGAUGAGCUCGCGUCUGAUUAGCUAGUUGGUAAGGUAACGGCUUACCAAGGCGACGAUCAGUAGCCGGACUGAGAGGUUGAUCGGCCACAUUGGGACUGAGACACGGCCCAGACUCCUACGGGAGGCAGCAGUGGGGAAUAUUGCACAAUGGAGGAAACUCUGAUGCAGCGAUGCCGCGUGAGGGAAGAAGGUUUUAGGAUUGUAAACCUCUGUCUUCAGGGACGAAAAAAGACGGUACCUGAGGAGGAAGCUCCGGCUAACUACGUGCCAGCAGCCGCGGUAAUACGUAGGGAGCGAGCGUUGUCCGGAAUUACUGGGUGUAAAGGGAGCGUAGGCGGGAUCGCAAGUCAGAUGUGAAAACUAUGGGCUUAACCCAUAAACUGCAUUUGAAACUGUGGUUCUUGAGUGAAGUAGAGGUAAGCGGAAUUCCUAGUGUAGCGGUGAAAUGCGUAGAUAUUAGGAGGAACAUCAGUGGCGAAGGCGGCUUACUGGGCUUUAACUGACGCUGAGGCUCGAAAGCGUGGGGAGCAAACAGGAUUAGAUACCCUGGUAGUCCACGCCGUAAACGAUGAUUACUAGGUGUGGGGGGACUGACCCCUUCCGUGCCGCAGCAAACGCAAUAAGUAAUCCACCUGGGGAGUACGACCGCAAGGUUGAAACUCAAAGGAAUUGACGGGGGCCCGCACAAGCAGUGGAGUAUGUGGAUUAAUUCGAAGCAACGCGAAGAACCUUACCAGGUCUUGGCAUCGUAUGCAUAGCUCAGAGAUGAGUGAAAUCUCUUCGGAGACAUAUAGACAGGUGGUGCAUGGUUGUCGUCAGCUCGUGUCGUGAGAUGUUGGGUUAAGUCCCGCAACGAGCGCAACCCUUACUGUUAGUUGCUACGCAAGAGCACUCUAGCAGGACUGCCGUUGACAAAACGGAGGAAGGUGGGGAUGACGUCAAAUCAUCAUGCCCCUUAUGACCUGGGCCUCACACGUACUACAAUGGCUGUCAACAGAGGGAAGCAAAGCCGCGAGGUGGAGCGAACCCCUAAAAGCAGUCUUAGUUCGGAUUGUAGGCUGCAACCCGCCUACAUGAAGUCGGAAUUGCUAGUAAUCGCAUAUCAGCAUGCUGCGGUGAAUACGUUCCCGGGCCUUGUACACACCGCCCGUCACGCCAUGGGAGUCGGUAACACCCGAAGCCUGUAGUCUAACCGCAAGGAGGACGCAGUCGAAGGUGGGAUUGAUGACUGGGGUGAAGUCGUGACAAGGUA